GGGGGGGCCCUACCAUGCAAGUCGAACGGCAGCACAGAAGAGCUUGCUCUUUGGGUGGCGAGUGGCGGACGGGUGAGUAAUGUCUGGGAAACUGCCCGAUGGAGGGGGAUAACUACUGGAAACGGUAGCUAAUACCGCAUAACGUCGCAAGACCAAAGUGGGGGACCUUCGGGCCUCACACCAUCGGAUGUGCCCAGAUGGGAUUAGCUAGUAGGUGGGGUAAUGGCUCACCUAGGCGACGAUCCCUAGCUGGUCUGAGAGGAUGACCAGCCACACUGGAACUGAGACACGGUCCAGACUCCUACGGGAGGCAGCAGUGGGGAAUAUUGCACAAUGGGCGCAAGCCUGAUGCAGCCAUGCCGCGUGUAUGAAGAAGGCCUUCGGGUUGUAAAGUACUUUCAGCGGGGAGGAAGGCGGUGAGGUUAAUAACCUUGCCGAUUGACGUUACCCGCAGAAGAAGCACCGGCUAACUCCGUGCCAGCAGCCGCGGUAAUACGGAGGGUGCAAGCGUUAAUCGGAAUUACUGGGCGUAAAGCGCACGCAGGCGGUCUGUUAAGUCAGAAGUGAAAUUCCCCGGGCUUGCCUGGGAGAUGGGCUUUUGAAACUGGCAGGCUUGAGUCUCGUAGAGGGGGGUAGAAUUCCAGGUGUAGCGGUGAAAUGCGUAGAGAUCUGGAGGAAUACCGGUGGCGAAGGCGGCCCCCUGGACGAAGACUGACGCUCAGGUGCGAAAGCGUGGGGAGCAAACAGGUUAG
RNAcentral lists this ribosomal RNA (752 nucleotides) under Pantoea dispersa. Its description in RNAcentral is "bacterial SSU rRNA". It matches the Rfam family "Bacterial small subunit ribosomal RNA", at positions 40 to 781 of the family's 1533-position model. The record is from RNAcentral. Lineage: Bacteria; Pseudomonadati; Pseudomonadota; Gammaproteobacteria; Enterobacterales; Erwiniaceae.